UACGGAGGGUGCGAGCGUUGUCCGGAAUCACUGGGCGUAAAGGGCGCGUAGGCGGCUGCGCAAGUCUCGGGUGAAAUCCCUCGGCUCAACCGAGGAACUGCCCUGGAAACUGCGCGGCUCGAGGCCGGGAGAGGAUGGUGGAAUUCCCAGUGUAGCGGUGAAAUGCGUAGAUAUUGGGAGGAACACCGGUGGCGAAGGCGGCCAUCUGGACCGGUCCUGACGCUGAGGCGCGAAAGCGUGGGGAGCAAACAGG
RNAcentral lists this ribosomal RNA (253 nucleotides) under uncultured bacterium. RNAcentral's name for it is "partial 16S ribosomal RNA". It matches the Rfam family "Bacterial small subunit ribosomal RNA", at positions 524 to 776 of the family's 1533-position model. The record is from RNAcentral.